UCUAUGUUGAUGAAUAAUGAAAAAAAAUUUAAAAUUUUAUUUUAAAUUUAAAAUAAUAUAUAUUAGAUUUAAAAUUAAUAUUUUGAUCAUUAGAUGAUUGAUUAUGAAAAUAUUUUAUAAAAUUAAAAACUAUUUUCAAACAUCGAACUUGAUCCCAUAUCAGCCUAAAAUUUAAUUCAGAAUUAAGCGAUUUAGAUUUGAGAAUCAAAGAUCCAAGGCAUUAAUUUCAUAAUUCA
Molecule: long non-coding RNA, 236 nt
Filed under: Elaeis guineensis (African oil palm)
Lineage: Eukaryota; Viridiplantae; Streptophyta; Magnoliopsida; Arecales; Arecaceae
Description: long non-coding RNA (EGUI_LNC004207)
Source: RNAcentral